RNAcentral lists this ribosomal RNA (1431 nucleotides) under Candidatus Deianiraea vastatrix. Its description in RNAcentral is "bacterial SSU rRNA". It matches the Rfam family "Bacterial small subunit ribosomal RNA". The record is from RNAcentral. Lineage: Bacteria; Pseudomonadati; Pseudomonadota; Alphaproteobacteria; Rickettsiales; Candidatus Deianiraeaceae.
AGUGAACGCUGGCGGUAUGCUUAACACAUGCAAGUCGAACGGAGUUUUUUGAAGUAGCAAUACUUUAAAAAAUUUAGUGGCGAACGGGUGAGUAAUAUAUAGGAAUCUACCCAGUAGCGGGGAAUAAUCAUCAGAAAUGGUGACUAAUACCGCAUACGCCCGAAAGGGGAAAGGAGCAAUCCACUAUUGGAUGAGCCUAUAUCUGAUUAGCUAGUUGGUAGGGUAAAUGCCUACCAAGGCAAAGAUCAGUAGCCGGUCUUAGAGGAUGGCCGGCCACAUUGGGACUGAGACACGGCCCAAACUCCUACGGGAGGCAGCAGUGGGGAAUAUUGGACAAUGGGCGCAAGCCUGAUCCAGCAAUACCGCGUGAGUGAUGAAGGUCGAAAGAUUGUAAAACUCUUUUGCCGGGGACGAUUAUGACGGUACCCGGAGAAUAAGGACUGACUAACUUCGUGCCAGCAGUCGCGGUAAUACGUGGAGUCCAAGCGUUACUCGGAAUUAUUGGGCGUAAAGCAUGUGUAGGCUGUCUUGUAAGUUAAUGGUGAAAUACCGGGGCUCAACUUCGGUGCUGCUAUUAAUACUGCUUGACUAGAGUUUGGUAGAGGGGAAUGGAAUUCCUAGUGUAGGGGUAAAAUCCAUAGAUAUUAGGAGGAACGCCGGAGGCGAAAGCGAUUCCCUGGGCCAUAACUGACGCUGAGACAUGACAGUGUGGGGAGCAAACAGGAUUAGAUACCCUGGUAGUCCACACCGUAAACGAUGAUCACUACCUGUCGGGACUUCGGUUUCGGUGGGCACAGCUAACGCGUUAAGUGAUCCGCCUGAGUAGUACGAUCGCAAGAUUAAAACUCAAAGGAAUUGACGGGGACCCACACAAGCGGUGGAGCAUGUGGUUUAAUUCGACGCUAACCGAGAAACCUUACCAAAACUUGACAUGGCACCUUAAGCGCAUCCAGCAGUGGAGCGUGUGAGCAAUCUAGGUGUCACAGGUGAUGCACGGCUGUCGUCAGCUCGUGUCGUGAGAUGUUGGGUUAAGUCCCGCAACGAGCGCAACCCCCUUCCAUAUUUGCCAGCGAGUAAUGUCGGGAACUAUAUGGAUACUGCCCGUGAUAAGCGGGAGGAAGGAGGGGAUGACGUCAAGUCAUCAUGUCCCUUAUGUUUUGGGCUACACACGUGCUACAAUGGUGCUGACAACGGGUCGCAACACCGCGAGGUGAAGCUAAUCCCUUAAAGAGCAUCUCAGUUCAGAUUGCAGUCUGCAACUCGACUGCAUGAAGUUGGAAUCGCUAGUAAUCGCAAAUCAGCAUGUUGCGGUGAAUUUGUUCCUGGGUCUUGUACACACUGCCCGUCAAGGCAUGGGAGCUGAAUUUGCUAGAAAACAGUGCGCUAACCGCAAGGAGGCAGCUGUUUACGGCAGUUUCGGUGACUGGGCUU